Lactuca sativa (garden lettuce) is the source of this 506-nucleotide long non-coding RNA. RefSeq lists it as uncharacterized. NCBI's taxonomy places the organism in Eukaryota, Viridiplantae, Streptophyta, Magnoliopsida, Asterales, Asteraceae. The record is from RefSeq and is a predicted model, not a curated record.
CCUGGUCAAUAUUCCUCUUAUCGAGUCCACAAAAAAAUAACGCUGACUGAUGAAAUUGAGAGCUGUUUUGAUUUUAUCCCAUAAAUCGUAAUCGCUUCUGACUCCAUCGUCCAUGGUGAACAAGUUGCACAACCGUUUCUUUCCCCACAGUCGGCCUCCACCGAUUCGCCAACGCCUUCCUCCUCUAGCAUCGGCCGUCCCUGCAACUCCGAUGGUGAGAAGAAAACGAGAUUGAAUUUCAUGUGAUGGAGUUCAGUGAAUCAAACCUGAGCAUGGGAGAAUGAUGUUUGCAGGGGGCAGUGGAGCUUGUGGAAGAAAUGCCAGAAUUUGGUUCAGUUUUGAAUAAAUUUUGAUUUAUUUUGUUUGUUUUCGUAAAUGCAAGUGAGUAGGUCUAAAAUUGUUCAUUUUCUUUUUUAGAUUAUGGUUUAUGGACAUAAUUGAACAUUUUUAGAGUUUCAUCUAAUUACCCAUGUAUCUUUUUUUUAUCCAAAUACUUUUGUUUUGUC